Molecule: long non-coding RNA, 3193 nt
Filed under: Canis lupus familiaris (dog)
Lineage: Eukaryota; Metazoa; Chordata; Mammalia; Carnivora; Canidae
Description: lncRNA (ENSCAFG00845024585.1)
Source: RNAcentral
UUUUUUAUUGUUUUUUUUAAUUAUUCCAUUCUCCACUCCCAUAUUAGUUUGGAAGUUUUACUCUUUUUCUAUUUGAAACAUUUUAUUUAUUUAUAAAGAUUUUAUUUAUUCAUGAGAGUCAUAGAGAGCCAGAGACGUAGAGGGAGGAGCAUGCUCCCUAUUGGGAGCCUGAUGCAGGACUUGAUCCCAGGACCCCGGGAUCACGACCUGAGCCAAAGGCAGAUGCUCAACCACUGAGCCACCCAAGUACCCCUCUAUAUGAAAUAUUUUAAAAAUUGCCCUAGAAAUUUACUUUCCAAUAUUAAUCUUAUUUCAUUUACCAAAAAGUACUGAGUACCUCCAUGGUGAAGUAAAAAACCAUGGAGGUGAAAUGAGCAAGCAGUCUGGUCCUUGAGAGCCCAAGUCAGUCCCUUUAUUUUCCUUUUGAAGAAUCUCCAGGUCUCCGAAGUUCAGACUACUGCUUUUUUUCACUAUGUAAAUACCAUGUGCUUAUAAAAAGACCUAAACAUUUCAUAUGUUUAUUGUUGAGAUUGUCAGCAGUCUAUUACAUCUUUUUUACAUGUUAAUUUUUUGGUUUUGGCUCAUCAUUUCAAAGGAUCCAGCUACUCUGGAUCUUUAUAAGUAUCGUUCUACACAUUAUAUCUAUCCUCACAAAUUUGCAGUGAAGUAUUAUCACCCAAUCAGGAAAGUUAUUUCGGUGAAAUUGAUUUUCCCACAAUCACACAUCUAGUGAGUGGUGGGCUGGAUUCGUAUACAGAUCUGCCUGUCUCUAAUGCUUAUAAUUUUUUCAACCCUAUUACAUGGAAGGAUUUGUCAAAAUGAAGGCUAGAGAAAUUAUAAUGUAUAUUAAUACCUUAAAAGUACAUGACUGUCAGUUUGUCGAGAUGCAGUUCACAUAUCAUAAAAUUAAUGUUUUAUUUAUUUAUUUAUAGGGGGGUGGAGGAGCAGAGAGAGAGAAUCUCAAUCUCCUCACUGAGGCUGAUGUGACUCACGACCCUGAGAUCAUGAUCUGAGCUGAAACUGAGUCAGAUGCAUAGCCAUCUGAGCCACCCAGGUGCCCCAAAAUUCAUCUUUUUAAAGUGUAUGGUUCAGUGUCUUUUAUCAUAUUCAUAAAGCUGUACAACCAUCAGUACUAUCUAAUUCCAGAAUAUUUUCAUCUCCCCCAGAAGAAAUCCUCUAUUAGCAACCAUUCCCAUUUCCUCUUCCCCCAGAACUUUGGCAAUCUCUACUCUCUGUCCCUAUGGCUUUGCCUAUCCUGGGUAUCCCAGCUUUUGUGUGCAGCCUUUGGCUUCUUUCAUUUAGCAUGUUUUCAAGGCUUAUCCAUGUGGUAACAUAUAUUAGUGCUCCACUCCUUUUGUGGUUGAGUAAUAUAGUCCAUCGUAUGGAUAUACUACCUUUUGUUUAUCCAUCAUUUGUUGGUAACAUUUUUGACUAUUGUGGAUAAUGCUGCUAUAAACAUUUGUGUACAAGUUUUUGUAUGAAUGUAUUUUUUGUUCCCUUGGGUAUGUAAUUAGGAGUGUUAACUGCUGGGUCAUGUUCAACUUUUUGAGGAACUGUCAAACACAGCAACCUUACUUUAUGUUCCCACCAGAAUAUGAGGAUUCCAAUAUUUCCACAUUGUCAGCACUUAUUGUCCCUUGUUCUGACUAUAGUCAUCCUAGUGGAUAUGAAGUACUAUUAUACUGUUAUUUAUUUAUUUAUUUAUUGAUUGAUUGAUUGUUUGAUUUAUUCAUGAGAGACACAGAGAGAGAGGCAGAGACACAGAGAGAGGGAGAGGGAGAAGCAGGCUCCUCGCAGGGAGCCCGAUGUGGGACUCCAACAUGGGCCCUGGGAUCACACCCCGAGCCAAAGGCAGAGGCUCAACUGCUGAGCCAUCCAAGCAUCCCUAUAUUCUGGUUUUGAUCUACAUUUCCCUAAUGGCUAAUGAUGCUGAGCAUCUUAUUAAUAGUGCUUAUUUGCCACUUAUGUAUCUUCUUUGGAGAAAGUUUAUUCAAGUCCUUUGUCCAUUUUUUAAUUGAGUGGUCUUUUGAUUGUUGUAUUGCAGGAGUUCUUUAUAUAUUCGGUAUAGUAAGCCUUACCAUACAUAUGAUUAACAAAUAUUUUUUUCCUAUUCUGUGAGUUUUCACUUUCAUGAUAGUGUUCUUUGAAGGAGAAGUUUUUAAUAUGGAUGGAGUACAAUUUAUCUUUUUUUUUUGAGGGGCAAAGGGUUGUUUGUGCUUUAGGUGUCAUAGCUAAGAAACCACUGCCUCAUCCCAAGUCACAAAGAUUUGUAACUGUUUUCUUCUAAGUAAUAUUACCUUUACCCUUUUCUGAGACAAUGUAAGAAAUUUGAGGCAUUUCAUUUAUCCCUGUAGCUUACAUUCUUUUUCAAAUACAUACAUACAUAUUGAAAUCCCAUAUAGUACAUUAUCAUAAUCAUUGUAUGCAAUAUGUUCAUUAAGUUAUAUAUUUACCACAAUUUUUGUUUUUUUGUUUCUUACUGAAAUUUAAUUUUCCACCAGGGUUCUUUUCCUUUUGUCUCAAGAAGGGGGAGAGAGAGUUUCCUUUCUUAGGGAGGAUAUGUUGCAUUAAAUUCUAUCAAUUUUUAUUUUAAUGUCUUUAUUUUGCCUUCAUUCGUGGAAAAUAUUUCUGUUGUGUAGAGAAUCCUUGGUUGAGAGUCAUUUUCUUUCAAUACUUUGAAGAUAUUUUUCUACUGUCUAUUUGUUUCCAAUAUACUAUUGAGAAAUCAGAUAUCUUUUUAAGGUAGUUCUUUUUCCAGUGAGAAACUUUUAAGAUUUCUUUUUUUUUUUUUUUCCAACUUCACUAUGGUGUGUCUAAAUAAGGAUUCUUUUGUAGUUAUCCUACUUGGGAUCUACUGACUUCUUGAAUUUAUGGCUCAAUGUCUUUCAUCACUUUUGAAAAUCUCAGCUAUUAUCUCUUUCAAUAUUGUCUCUGACACAUUCUUUCUCCCCUAUCUUCCUGGAAUCCAAGUGUAUUUGACAUUUUCACAAUGCCCUCUAUAACUUUUACCUCUCUUACCCACUUUCCAUUUUUUAGACUCUUCUGACUUAUAAUCCAGUUUACCAAGUCUUUAUUUAUUUAUUUAUUUUUAAAUUUUUAUUUAUUUAUGAUAGUCACAGAGAGAGAGAGAGAGGCAGAGACACAGGCAGAGGGAGAAGCAGGCUCCAUGCACCGGGAGCCUGACGUGGGAUUC